This 101-nucleotide microRNA precursor is filed under the name Marmota monax (woodchuck). Lineage: Eukaryota; Metazoa; Chordata; Mammalia; Rodentia; Sciuridae. The record is from RNAcentral.
AGUGGGAUAACUGGGCAAAUGGUAGUUACAACUAAAUUUUCUGAGGAAUCUCCACACUGCUUUUCAGAGUGGUUGCACCAAUUUAUAGUCCCACCAGCAAU